GACGAACGCUGGCGGCGUGCCUAAUACAUGCAAGUAGAACGCAGUUGCGAACGGGUUAGUAACGCGUAGGUAACUACCUAUUAGAGGGGGAUAACUAUUGGAAACGAUAGCUAAUACCGCAUACUAGUAGAUGUACCUGCGUUGUAUUAGCUAGUAGGUAGGGUAAUGGACUACCUAGGCAACGAUACAUAGCCGACCUGGGAGGGUGGUCGGCCACACUGGGGAGGAGAAACGGCCCAGAAUCCUACGGGAAGGCGCAGUAGGGAAACUUCGGACAAUGGGGGAACCCUGACCGAUGAACGCCGGGUUGGUGAAGAAGGUUUUCGGAGCGGAAAGCUAUGUUGUUAAGGAAGCGGUACUUAACCAGAAAGGGACGGCUAACUACGUGCCAGCAGCCGCGGUAAUAC
This 407-nucleotide ribosomal RNA is filed under the name uncultured bacterium. Its description in RNAcentral is "partial 16S ribosomal RNA". It matches the Rfam family "Bacterial small subunit ribosomal RNA", at positions 28 to 526 of the family's 1533-position model. The record is from RNAcentral.